Molecule: ribosomal RNA, 253 nt
Filed under: uncultured bacterium
Lineage: Bacteria
Description: partial 16S ribosomal RNA
Rfam family: Bacterial small subunit ribosomal RNA
Source: RNAcentral
UACGAAGGGGGCUAGCGUUGCUCGGAAUCACUGGGCGUAAAGGGUGCGUAGGCGGGGCUUUAAGUCAGAGGUGAAAUCCUGGAGCUCAACUCCAGAACUGCCUUUGAUACUGAGAAGCUUGAGUCCGGGAGAGGUGAGUGGAACUGCGAGUGUAGAGGUGAAAUUCGUAGAUAUUCGCAAGAACACCAGUGGCGAAGGCGGCUCACUGGCCCGGUACUGACGCUGAGGUGCGAAAGCGUGGGGAGCAAACAGG